RNAcentral lists this unclassified non-coding RNA (310 nucleotides) under plant metagenome. RNAcentral describes it as "partial contains 5.8S ribosomal RNA, internal transcribed spacer 2, and large subunit ribosomal RNA". The stretch from base 1 to 105 matches the Rfam family "5.8S ribosomal RNA", at positions 50 to 154 of the family's 154-position model. The record is from RNAcentral.
GAAAUGCGAUAAGUAGUGUGAAUUACAGAAUUCAGUGAAUCAUCGAAUCUUUGAACGCACAUUGCGCCCCUUGGUAUUCCAUGGGGCAUGCCUGUUCGAGCGUCAUUUGUACCCUCAAGCUCUGCUUGGUGUUGGGUGUUUGUCCCCGUCUCCGCGCGUGGACUCGCCCCAAAGUGAUUGGCAGCCGGCGUACUGGUCCCGGAGCGCAGCACAUGUCGCGCAAACGAGUGCCUUGGUACGGCGGCGUCCAUAAGCCCCUCUCUCACGCUCUUGACCUCGGAUCAGGUAGGGAUACCCGCUGAACUUAAGC